ACACGGUCCAGACUCCUACGGGAGGCAGCAGUGGGGAAUAUUGGACAAUGGGCGAAAGCCUGAUCCAGCCAUGCCGCGUGUGUGAAGAAGGUCUUCGGAUUGUAAAGCACUUUAAGUUGGGAGGAAGGGCAGUUACCUAAUACGUGAUUGUUUUGACGUUACCGACAGAAUAAGCACCGGCUAACUCUGUGCCAGCAGCCGCGGUAAUACAGAGGGUGCAAGCGUUAAUCGGAAUUACUGGGCGUAAAGCGCGCGUAGGUGGUUCGUUAAGUUGGAUGUGAAAUCCCCGGGCUCAACCUGGGAACUGCAUUCAAAACUGCCGAGCUAGAGUAUGGUAGAGGGUGGUGGAAUUUCCUGUGUANCGGUGAAAUGCGUANAUAUAGGAAGGAACACCAGUGGCGAAGGCGACCACCUGGACUGAUACUGACACUGANGUGCGAAAGCGUGGGGAGCAAACAGGAUUAGAUACCCUGGUAGUCCACGCCGUAAACGAUGUC
This 497-nucleotide ribosomal RNA is filed under the name uncultured Gammaproteobacteria bacterium. Its description in RNAcentral is "bacterial SSU rRNA". It matches the Rfam family "Bacterial small subunit ribosomal RNA", at positions 324 to 813 of the family's 1533-position model. The record is from RNAcentral. Lineage: Bacteria; Pseudomonadati; Pseudomonadota; Gammaproteobacteria.